CCGAGUUUACAAACUCCCAAACCCAAUGUGAACUAUACCCGUCUACCGUUGCCUCGGCGGGUUCGCCCGCCGUGGGACCGACAAAUAAACUCUUGUAUUUCUAUCUUUUGGCAUGUCUGAGUGGAAUCAUACACAAAUGAAUCA
Molecule: unclassified non-coding RNA, 144 nt
Filed under: uncultured Cordyceps
Lineage: Eukaryota; Fungi; Ascomycota; Sordariomycetes; Hypocreales; Cordycipitaceae
Description: sequence contains ITS1
Source: RNAcentral